This 1537-nucleotide long non-coding RNA is filed under the name Scleropages formosus (Asian bonytongue). RNAcentral's name for it is "lncRNA (ENSSFOG00015030388.1)". The record is from RNAcentral. Lineage: Eukaryota; Metazoa; Chordata; Actinopteri; Osteoglossiformes; Osteoglossidae.
GGGGCAGUUGCCAGCUGGGCUGGGAGCUCCGCGAUGACUGCCAGGGCUUCAACCAAGGCACAGUGCUCUGCCAGCUGGGACAUCAUCAGCGCAUUGAGCGACUCCUGCUGCUGGAGCUGCAUCUGCUGGAGAAUGCACUCCAGAUGGUCUGCGUCCAUAGUGCAAGACGAUCCUGGGUUUCAGCACCACUAUAACAGACUACGCCAGAGACUGCAGACUUCCGAACCGAUGCAGAUGGGUCGUGGCCAACUGGACCCCGAUGAACGGCAACAUCGCCUCCACGUCAACCUGUGCCUCUACUGGGGAAUCCCUGGCCAUUUCCGCACAACCCGCCCAGCUUGCCCGCCGCAACCCAAUGUUAAGGUUAGUAAAUCGCAACUAACUGUAUCUAUGACUCUGGAGUGGCCGGGGAACAGAGUGGAGACGCGCGCUGGUAGAUUCCAGUGCAGCAAGCUGUUUUAUGAAUGCCGGUUUUCCUCACACACACAGCAUACCCAGACGAGCUUGAGAUGUACGCUUGUGGGUUGUUGGCUUUGACGCCCAACCAAUAGGGACUGGCUUAGUGGACUCACGCACCGAAUUGCUGCAUAUGUCGAUCGCGACUUGCCACCGCAAAGAACUCAUAUUUUACCUGGUGGCGUCACUGGACACACCAUUCAUCCUGGGCUUCACUUGGCUAGCACUACAUGACCCAGUGUUCUACUGGAGCACUAGGGACUUAGUUUUUUGGGGACCACAGUGCAAAUGCUCCUGCCUGUAGCUUCUGUGUCAGGUCACCUGUGUUGAAACUGCUGCGGAUACACCAGCAGUAGUGAUACCGUCUGAAUAUCAGGACUUAAGCGAGGCAUUCAGUAAACGUGAGCAGUGGCGCUGCCCCCGGACCAGCCGUGGGACUGCGCCAUCAACCUUCUUCCAGGAACCACACCCCCCUGUGGGAAGGUGUAUCCCUUGUCUCUCCCUGAACAAAAAGUCAUGCAGGAAUAUAUCACUGAAGCACUGAAUGCAGGCUACAUUUGACCAUCUAAGUCCCCACCCUCCGCAGGUUUCUUUUUCGUGGAGAAGAAGGACAGAGGUCUGCGCCCCUGUAUUGAUUAUUGUGGGUUGAAUGCUAUUAUGGUAUGAUACCCACACCCCCUGCCUUUGAUCACGGCAGCAUUAGAACGAGUGCAUAGUACAAAAAUUUUAACAAAACUGGACCUUCACAGUGCCUACAACCUGAUCCGAGUCAGGGAGGGGGAUGAGUGGAAUACCACCUUUAGCUCCACCCUGGGCCACUAUGAGUAUUUGGUCAUGCCUUUCGGUCUGUCUAACGCACCCUCAGUGUUCCAGGCUUUUGUCAAUCACAUACUAGGUGAUCUGAUGGACGAUUGUGUCCUGGUGUACCUGGAAGACAUUCUGAUCUUCUCCAAGUCCUGAGACCAACAUGUCCGCCAGGUAAGGACCGUUUUGCAGCGGCUCCUGCAAAAUCACUUCUGUGUCAAGGGGGAGAAACGUCUGUUCCACCAGUCACGGGUGCCAAUCCUGGGCUACAUCCUGA